RNAcentral lists this ribosomal RNA (814 nucleotides) under Sanguirana luzonensis (Luzon frog). RNAcentral describes it as "partial 16S ribosomal RNA". The stretch from base 203 to 646 matches the Rfam family "Bacterial large subunit ribosomal RNA", at positions 621 to 1302 of the family's 2925-position model. The record is from RNAcentral. Lineage: Eukaryota; Metazoa; Chordata; Amphibia; Anura; Ranidae.
GCCUUAACAUCUAGCCCGCACCACCCGCAUGAACUCCCCCUCCCACACAUACACAACAAAACAUUUUACCUCUUUAGUACAGGCGAUCGAAAAAUUUAUAGGCGCUUCAGAUUAAGUACSGCAAGGGAAAGAUGAAAUAAAAAUGAAAUAACUUUAAAGCCCCAAAUAGCASAGAUAUACCCUCGUACCUUUUGCAUCAUGGUCUAGCUAGUCUAAUCAAGCAAAAUGUAAACUUUAGUUUGACAUCCCGAAACUAAGUGAGCUACUUCAAAACAGCCCUAGGGGGCCAACCCGUCUCUGUUGCAAAAGAGUGGGAAGAUUUUCAAGUAGAGGUGAUAAGCCUAUCGAACUUAGAGAUAGCUGGUUAUUCUGAAAAAGAGUUUUAGCUCUGCCUUAAGUUUUAGCAUUAACCCAAACAAAUCUCUAAACUUAAGAGUUAUUCAAGUAAGGUUCAGCUUACUUGAAACAGGAUACAACCUCCGAUAUUGGGUAAAUGAGGAAAACCCAGACAAAGUGGGCCUAAAAGCAGCCAUCUUACAAAAAGCGUUAAAGCUUAAUCACUGAUUAUCUGUAAUUCCUUAAUUCCUUAUUAACCCCUCACCUUUACUGAAUCAUUUUAUAACAUUAUAAAAGCUAUUAUGCUAGAACUAGUAACAAGAAAAUGCCUUUCUCCUGAAUGUUAGCCAGAACCGAGAUAAACCCUGUCGGUAUUUAACGUAAAUGCUUUAAUUAUAGUAACACACACCAGAAAACCCUAUUAAUUCCAACGUCAACCUUACACUAGAACAUUACAGGAAAGAUAAAAGAAAGAGAA